CUCCUUAUCCAGCAGCAGCUCAGUGGUACCAGGAUUGAAGGUUUUGUGUAUUAUAAGGAAAUUCAGAGCCACAUGAAGAUGAGUUUGAGCUUAAAACCCCACUGGAAUUUGCCCAGAUGCAGUUGGUGUUUCUUUCACGGCGAAAACACAGCUUCAGCCUUAUGAAGAAUUGCAAAAUACCUGCUUGUCCAAACAAACAAAAGCUGCUCCCUUUUCAUCACAGCCCUGAUAAUGAAUUGCAGUGUACAAAGCCGGUCAUACAAUACGCAGCAGCGGCAGCGCGGAGCGAGAAUCUUUGGGAAGAGUUUCCAUAGAAACAUUGACGUCCUCCUGGCGAACAGGACACCGAGUUCCUUCAAUGGGAGCUGCCUUCUGUGUCUUGCUCAGGACUCCAGCAACUUCUGCCAGCUCAGCAGCAGUUACCGGGUUUGUAAAGCUCCUUACGGAAUCUCACCUGAAAACACUGAUCUGCGGCACUGUGCAGUUUUUCCCACUUCAAAGGGAAAUCUGCUGCUGCCACCCCAGAACUGAGCGCAGCGAGACACCGAACUGUCACUGGGGGCUGAUGUCACCUCCCAAGGUGUGUUUGUUGUACCAGGGAGCCUUCUGAGCGCUAAUGUCAGAAAAAACAAAACAAAACAACCACCUCUAUUUGUCUUUUCGCCUUCUCUGUUUAGGGAGUUGUUUCACGUUGUCUCUUUUUGUUCAAAACAAAUACCCAGGGCUCUCACGCAGAUUCCCAGUGAUGCUACAGCAGUUCCCAGUAGUCUCCCAGUUGCUAAUGCUUGUAAUUUUAUAAUGUUCAUACUUUAUUUUCCAUUCGGGGUGCACAGUGACGGCAGGUGACUCAGUUUUCACCGAAGGCAUGUGCAACCCCUUAUGGUUAAAAAUGGGUGAGAAAUGGGGAGGGGGGAAUCGUAAAUAUUUUUAGUCUUAAUCAAGAUCUUCAAGCUGUUUGCAAUACUGCAAUCCCAGUAGCAUCAACAUUGAUAUGUCUGAAUAAAAGCUAUGUGUUUUACA
This 1020-nucleotide long non-coding RNA is filed under the name Manacus vitellinus (golden-collared manakin). RNAcentral describes it as "lncRNA (ENSMVIG00005009090.1)". The record is from RNAcentral. Lineage: Eukaryota; Metazoa; Chordata; Aves; Passeriformes; Pipridae.